Molecule: non-coding RNA, 201 nt
Organism: Pelobates cultripes (western spadefoot toad)
Lineage: Eukaryota; Metazoa; Chordata; Amphibia; Anura; Pelobatidae
Source: the annotation of a GenBank genome assembly
UUAGAGUUCUUAUUACAGUUACUGAGUUAUCAGAUUAUAGUUACUAUAUUCUCCAAUGGGAUGUUAGGUGGUACGUUAAUUGGAGUUACAUGUUCGUGACUAUGUCUAAACCUGUCACACAUUCUCUUUUCAGUAUGAUUCGUCUCUGAAGAUAAUUGGCAGUUCACAUGAAACUAUUGGAGAUUUUAUCCUUUGGAUUUG